UUGAUGGUCUUCUACUGACGCUCUCUUAACUUUGGUGAAUUUUUUGGUCGUUGGUUUCGAUCGCAUCCGGAAAUCUGGUGGUCCUCUCAAGAUCAAAAUCUUCUAAAUCGGUGUUUGUGGACAACAUAUAAUCUUUCGCAACAGAAUUGGCUUGGCCCUCGUCUUGUGUUCUUUGCAUUACUUCUAAAGAAUGGUUUUUUUUUUUAGUAUAUGAUGGCAAUUACAUCAUUUUAAUGUGAGUACAAUUUAAAAGAUCAGAAAAUAAAAUAUCCUGCACAAUUCAUAGGUAGACAUCACUUUGUCUGCUAGCUUCAAUCUCUAAUGUGCUUGAUAAUAAAUGAUGCAAUUC
This 349-nucleotide long non-coding RNA is filed under the name Elaeis guineensis (African oil palm). RNAcentral describes it as "long non-coding RNA (EGUI_LNC013415)". Lineage: Eukaryota; Viridiplantae; Streptophyta; Magnoliopsida; Arecales; Arecaceae. The record is from RNAcentral.